CCCUUAGAUGUCCUGGGCCGCACGCGCGUUACACUGAUGCAUUCAACGAGCUUAUAACCUUGGCCGAGAGGCCUGGGCAAUCUUGUUAACGUGCAUCGUGAUAGGGAUAGAUUAUUGAAAUUAUUAAUCUUGAACGAGGAAUUCCUGGUAAACGCAGAUCAUCAAUCUGCAUUGAUUACGUCCCUGCCCUUUGUACACACCGCCCGUCGCACCUACCGAUUGGAUGGUCCGGUGAAGCCUCGGGAUUGUGGUUCUUGCCGCUUUAUUGUGGCGUGACCGCGAGAACUUGUCUAAACCUUAUCAUUUAGAGGAAGGUGAAGUCGUAACA
RNAcentral lists this ribosomal RNA (328 nucleotides) under uncultured eukaryote. RNAcentral describes it as "partial 18S ribosomal RNA". It matches the Rfam family "Eukaryotic small subunit ribosomal RNA", at positions 1470 to 1796 of the family's 1831-position model. The record is from RNAcentral.